AACGCGAAGAACCUUACCAAGUCUUGACAUCCCAAUGACGAGUGGGUAAUGCCACUUUCCCUUCGGGGCAUUGGAGACAGGUGGUGCAUGGUUGUCGUCAGCUCGUGUCGUGAGAUGUUGGGUUAAGUCCCGCAACGAGCGCAACCCCUAUCUUUAGUAGCCAGCGAGCGAAGUCGGGCACUCUAGAGAGACUGCCGGGGAUAACCCGGAGGAAGGUGGGGAUGACGUCAAAUCAUCAUGCCCCUUAUGAUUUGGGCUACACACGUGCUACAAUGGCGUAAACAGAGGGAAGCGAGCCUGCGAGGGGGAGCAAAUCCCAAAAAUAACGUCCCAGUUCGGAUUGUAGUCUGCAACCCGACUACAUGAAGCUGGAAUCGCUAGUAAUCGCGGAUCAGAAUGCCGCGGUGAAUACGUUCCCGGGUCUUGUACACACGCACGUCGCACCAUGGGAGUGGG
This 456-nucleotide ribosomal RNA is filed under the name uncultured Lachnospiraceae bacterium. RNAcentral's name for it is "bacterial SSU rRNA". It matches the Rfam family "Bacterial small subunit ribosomal RNA", at positions 958 to 1414 of the family's 1533-position model. The record is from RNAcentral. Lineage: Bacteria; Bacillati; Bacillota; Clostridia; Lachnospirales; Lachnospiraceae.